GGGUUUGUUCUAUCACUCAUCACUUUAAAAGGCUUAUGAAUCCGCAGUCAAAACCAACAGGAGCCAGGCAUUCGCGGUGCACACCUGUAAUCUCAGCACUUGGGAGGCUGAGGCAGGAGGAUCGCCACUAGUUCAAGGCCAGCUUGGGCUCCAUAGUUCAAGGGUGGUCUGAACUAUGUGGCAAGACCCCCGUCUCAAAGAAGAGUUCAAGGCCAGCCUGAACUGCAAAGCAAAACCCUGCCUCAAAAGGCCCCCCUAAAAAAUUAAAGAAAAAAAAAAACAAACAAACCAAAAAACCCUCAGACAACAACAACAAGAACAAAGCUCCAGAGGGUGUAUUGGAUAUAUCUCUCCUGAAAUGUUGUCUCUGGGCUCUCCAAGUGGACCCCAGGAUACGCACUGUCUUGGAACGGCCUCAGAAGGGAAACGGCUGCCGUCUCCUCGUGGGCCAAAUGUCAGCAAAUUCUUCAGCAGCUAACGGACACCCAGCCUUGGGGACUGGGGCUCCCAGGGUUCCAGCCGGGGACCUGACACACGUGCUGUCUCUCCCCUCUCUGGAGCCGACCUGGGAGGGCCACGCCCCGUGAUCCUUCCAGUCAGCGGUCCAGGUGUCGGGACUGGAGUCCUUGGCACACCGGUCCUGCCUGGCCUCACCGGCGGAAGCCUGACAUUCCCGAAAACAGAACCCGCCCCCUGCGUGCUGCUGUGAGCCCAUGGGAGACCUGAACCUCCACUGAAGAAGGAGAAGGUCGCUUCCUCAUGCCCAGGCGCAAGCAGACAGCGGCGGCCAUGUGGUCACUGGCUGAGCCCCGGCCGAGCCCCGGUUGUCCAAGUCCUCGGGUCACAGCCUUGUCACAGACCGAACAAUCGAAGAUAUCAAUCGGAUAUUUUCCAGCGUGGGACAGCUGUGUACGGCCAGUCUCUUCCAGACCCUUCUGCCUCAGCCUUCUAAGUGGCUCCUGCCAGUUUUUUGCAAGAUGUUUUCAAGUUGCAAGCUGGGGUUGUUCCAGGCUGCUCAGAGAAUUAUUCCUGUUCUUGGAUCUGCCUGGCCACUUUGGUGAUGAAUACAAUUGAUUAGCCUAAAAGGAAAGUGUAGAUCAGUGGUAGCUGUCUCUCAUGUAAUUCUGUAGAAAUGUGGUAUUGUAAGGGUCCUGCUGCUCCAGGGCACAUCCCUACCUUCCUGCAACGGGCUGACAGAGUUUUCAGCUUUGGAGACCAGGUUGUUGCUCAGGUCACUACUCUUAUCCUAGAGGAAAAGCUACUGCAGGUAGAAUGAAUGUUCACGGCUGGGUGCCAAUAAAACUUUAUUCAAACAGGCACUGGAGCUAGGUGCAGUACCACAUGCCUGUAAUCCCAGCAUUCUGAGAGGCUGAGCCAGGAGGAUUGCAAGUUUGGAUAUCUUAGUGAGACCCUCAAAAAAUAAAAAGGGCUGGGUAUAUAGCUCAGUGUGAAGCCACUGUGUUCAACUCCCAGUACCAAAACACCACCCAAAACCCAGAACCCCAAAAUCAGGUGCAGCAUUUGGCCAGAGGGCUGGAAUUCACUGACCUCUGUCUGGCCAUGGCCAGGAAAACGCCAGCCCCACUCCAGGAGUCAUUUGAGCAGGCAGCCACUAGGUGGCAGCAGGGAGCCGGCUCCCAGGUCCCCAGUGUCUCCCACAGCGGGGGCAGCCCAGCAUGGCCGAGGCACCUGUCAGGAUGAAGUGGCUCUGACUCGCACACCUGUGCUCCCAGCAGGAUGCUCCACAGCAGACUGAAGGUGGAAACGACCCAGUGUCCACCCACCGGUGGAGGGGAACAAGAGGAGUCUGUCUGCACACUGGAGCACGAUGCAGCCAGGAAAAGGAAGUCCACAGCCUGGUUGGACCUUGAGGCCGGGCUGCUCAGGAGCCUAGCCAGACAUAGAAGGUCACACACUGCAGGGUCCCUCUCCCAGGACGGCCCUGUGUGGUCAGAGCCACAGAGAUGGAAGACGGGGACGCCGGGCUGGGGCAAGGAAUGGGGGUCAGCAUUUCCUGGGUGGAGGCUCAGCUGAGGGAGGUGAGAGAGGCCUGGAGGUGGAGGAGGGCUACGGGCUGGGUUUUCCCUUGCCAAAUUCAUUUGCUGAAACUCCAGCCCCCGGGUGAUGGUGCUGAGAGGUGAGGGCUUGGAAGAUUUUUUGUGUGUACAUUAUUGAGGGUUGAGUCCAGGGCCUUUGCAUUUGGCUACAUCUCCAGCCUUGUUCUUUUUUUCUUUUUGAGACAGGGUCUCACUAUGUAGUUCAGGCUGGCCUUGAGUUCACUUUGUAGCCCAGGCUGUUCUUGAACUUGCAAGGAUUCUCCUGCCUCAGCCUCCAGAGUGCUGGGAUUACAGGUGUGUGCCACCAUGUCCAGCUCUCCAGCUCUUUUUAUUUUAUUUAUUUAUUUCAAUUUAAAAAAAGAGUCUAGUUAAGUUAUCAAAUUGCCCAGGCGGAGCUCUGCCUUGCGAUCCUCCUGCCUAAGCCUCCCAAGUAGCUGGGAUGCCAGGCACCCAGCACCUUUGGAGGGAGUUAGAGUCAUAUGGGAAGUGCCCCUCCUCCAUUAGUGCCUCUGUAAGAAGUGGGAGAGGCCAGAGCUCGCCCUCCCUACUACAAGAGGACGGAGCCAGCAGGUGGCGUCCACAGCACAGAAGCUGGUCCUCCGCAGGAACUUGGCUCAGGCCACCCUGAUCUUGUGGGCUUCUGGGCUCCAGAAUUGACAAAUAAAGGUUCGUGGUUUCAGCCCCAGCUGGGGGUCCUGUCGCAGCACCCAAACAGAGCUGCUGGUGGAGACUUGCACAGCACCAAGGAUGUGCUUAAGGCUGCUCGAGUGGGCACUCAAAAACGCCAAAGAUGGUCAGUUUGAAUUUACAUAUAUUUUGUCACAAUAAAAAAAAAAUUGGUGUUGGGCACAGUGGCACAUGCUUGUGAGCAUAGCCCUCAGGGAGGCUGAGGCAGGAGGGCUGCAAGUUCAGAGUCUUUUUGCUGAGCUAUAUCCCCAGCCUCUUUGUUAUGUUUUAUUUUAGGACCUUGGCUGAGUUGCCAAGGAUGGCUAUAGAAUCCAGGCUGGCCUUGAGCUCCCAGUGAUCCUCCUGCCUCAGCCUCCUGAGUGCUGGGGUGUCAGGCGUGUGCCACGACACACGGCUUCAGUUGUCAUUGUUCAGAGUGACCCACAAAUGUGUACACUGGCUCUCAGAUUGAGAGUGGGCCAUCCCGUGUGUGCACUACCGGGCAUGGCCUCUGCCACAGAGCUGGAAUUUUGGGCCCAUCCUGGACUUGUGACCAGGACUGGUUUGUGCCUGGUGGUUCCCAGCCCUAAUCUCCAGGUCAAGAAAAUGCUGGUUGCUGACUGAGCCCUUUCCUGCUGCCUCAGCGGAAUCUGGCCUGUCAGUUCUGCCUGCAGGAUGAAGCGUGGCAGCAGGUGGCCCAGCCUGCUGGAAAGCUCCGUGCUGGGCAGAAGGCCUCAUGGUCACAGUGUGCAGAGAUCGGGGGCAGGGAGGGGGCAGGCAAGGAGUGGGACCUGGGGAACUGUAUUUGCCCACUCUGUGUUAGUCUAAUUAAAUGCUGAGACUGGAUCCUCUUAGAGAGGAGAAAAGGUUAGUGUGCGCCUGUCAUCCCAGAUCCUUAGGCGGCUGAGGCAGGCGAAUCUCAACGAUGCAGAAGGUGUGAACUAGCUGGGCCUAUGUGUGGUGGUGCAUGCUUGUAAUCCCAGCAUGCGGGAGGCUGGGGCAGGAGGAUCCUUGCAAGUUCGAGGCCAGCCUGGACUACAAAGUGAGCUCAAGGUCAGCCUGAACUGCAUAGUGAGACCCUGUCUCAAACACACACACACACACACACACACACACACACACACACACACACGGUGCAAACUCAAUCU
Chinchilla lanigera (long-tailed chinchilla) is the source of this 3871-nucleotide long non-coding RNA. The record is from Ensembl. NCBI's taxonomy places the organism in Eukaryota, Metazoa, Chordata, Mammalia, Rodentia, Chinchillidae.